Molecule: long non-coding RNA, 5624 nt
Organism: Numida meleagris (helmeted guineafowl)
Lineage: Eukaryota; Metazoa; Chordata; Aves; Galliformes; Numididae
Exons: 9
Source: RefSeq, a predicted model, not a curated record
GCCAGAGAUGAGUAGGGGAGCAACUGUCCCCAUAAGAGGAGUCCAGCAGAUGGGCUGGAGAAGCUGGUAGCAGAGCAGAGAUCAGCCCUGCGAGGGGCACAGAUUCUGCACCAGCCAGAGGUAUUUGCUUCCUUCCAUCAGACCUGUGGCUCACACACUUUGAAUCCAGGUCCAAGUGGCAGAGCAAUGUACUCAUGGCCUCGUCUGCAGUCCAGGGAGCCAUUCCAUUGGCUUCACUCAAGCCCCUUAGCUCUGCCCAAGAAUAAAUUUGAUUGGUAACGUAGGAUCUUCCUGCCUCCAGCAGGUGGAACAGGCUUCCAAGGCAAUUUGGUGGUGCUUUUACAGCACUUUCCAAAACCAUGUGGAAAUGAGCUGCCACAGCUCUUCCAACCUAACCUGUGACCAGGAAUGUCAGUGCUGUAUCAGUGACACACCACAGUGGGUUCAUCCUGGCCUGAAUACACGCUGGUCUCAAAGAGCACAUUUCUCUGUUGCAAUUUAAGGAAAGAAGAGAAAGCUGAAGGGGGAACUGUAAGAACUUAGUUUGACAGGACACUUGAACACUGGUUUAAGUUCAAGCAACCAUGUUGUGAUCAACAGGUAUGCUGUAAAGCAGAGAUGAUAAAGGAGUGCUGCAGGAGGAUCGGACUUCUUGAAGGGGGAUUUGGAAGAGCAUUUGCAAGCCCUUCCAGACAAAGCUUGUGUGUCAUGAAGCUGGAGAUGAUUGGAUGCCCAUUUGGAUGGAUCUUCAGCCUGCUCCACGUCCCCUCUUCAGCAACACUUGUCCUGCGUGUCCUGAAGCCAAUGUUCAGCCCUGCGCGCAGAGGAAGAGCCUCUCCCCCUCUCCCUGAGCCUUGCUGAGGAAUCCUAACUCCAUGAAGUUGUUACAGCAGUGAGUGCUGUGUUGCUGCCUGGUCUGUUGGAUGAGGGGAACAGGGGCUCAGCAUCGCAGACAGGUUCUUGCAGAAGCUCUGGCAACCCUGGGAGCAACAUUCACACCUCUCAACCUGCUUACACAGGUGCUUUCUGAGCCUAAGAAUGCAUAGAGAGGUGCAGCUGCCCAUGGAAGGUGGCACCAAAUCCCUGGGAUAAUUCUGACGCUGCAAUCAAAGCAUCAAAGUGUUUGGAAUGCAUGCGGAACCUGGCUGGGAUGAAUUGCUGCUGAAACAUUUCUGCGCCAGGCUCAGGCAGCCCAUACCCGAGAGGCUUUUAUGCAACACGGGCUUAUCCCAGGUUUCACAACACUGACCUUCUGACCGUGCAAACACCGUACAAAUACAGCAUUUCUGCUACCAGGACCACGUGAUGGCCGUGCAGGUGAUUAAACAGCAAUGCUUCAAAGUGCGCUCUGCGUGGGGCGGAGAUGUGGGAGCAGCAGUGUCCCCAGCGCUGGGGCUGCACGCACAACCCAGCUUUUCCCAGCUCUCCGAAAAACUGUGGCUGUGCAGACGUUGGUCAGAGCUGCCCAGAUGAUAGUUUAUGUUUUCCAAUCUGCUGUGAAAACACAGAUAAUGCGCAGAGGCUCAGCCGGACAGGACUGGCGCGGGCUGCGCGGAGUCACUGGGGACAGGAGGGAGCGUACCCAGCUGGGAGGAAGGGAGGGAAAUCAUUUAUACUAAUAAACCAAAGCCUAUUAUUACACCAGUAGUAAAACAACGGCAGCAGCAGGCCUGCAAUUUCCUCAGUAAUAAUCUCAUUCCCUCGGUGGGAUAACAACACUGCCGUUGGCCUCGUAAUUUAUCCACUAGGGUACCAGCCCUUUGUAGCACAGCAGCCUCCUCAUUACCCAGGCAAUGAAAGAAGUGCCCUGUGUUAUUAACAGGCUGCCAGGACACACAUGAGGGGCUGAGGAGCACGUGCACCCACCAGACACAUCCUUGGAAAGCCAAGGACCCUACACACACGUGCAUUUUCCACAGCAGCAUCCUGGGGUUAAAAGGAAAAAAAAAAAGAAAAAAAACAAAGCAGAUAAGAACCAAGCUGAGAGACACAAAGCGUCCUCAUCCUUAUCCAACAAUCUUAUCUGAUCAGUGCCUCGGCAUUUCAAUUCCCAGCCCGCACUACUGAUGCGCUGCAGAGCAGCCACAGGCCAAAAGCUCCAAAAUCAGGGCUGGAGCCAAGGUCCUUCGUGUCACUUCGUGUUUAGGCAAUUAAAUAACUGCUCCUGCAAGGGGACAGCAUGGCAGGUGCCAAGCACACAGCUGCUUGUGCUCAACACUUCCUCGGGCCGCUGGGUUGGACCCCAACACACCACAGCUGCUCACCUUCAGAAGGUCAUGGCUUCAUGUUUUCUGAAUUGCUUUCCCAUGAUUUCUGUAGCUAAGCUUUCACUUUGGCAGAACCACAGCUUUGUAUCCCUUCCAUCAUGAAGUCCAGCUGCAGAUCGGUUCCCUGCACAUGUAUGCCUUCAGAUUAACUUCCCUUGCUUGGCCCUUUUUACACCCUGCUCUACCUGGGCACGCUCUCCAAGGCUUUUGUCCAUCUCCCAGAAGCCUUAUAUAAUGGGACUGAGAGAGCAUGUAUGCUGGACAAUCAUAGAAUCAUUAAGGUUGGAAAAAAAACCACCAAGACUGCCAAGCCCAAUCAUCCACCCACCCCCACCAUGCCCACUGACCACGUUCCACAUCUCCACGGUUUCUGAGUGCCACAAGGGACGGUGACUCCUCCAUUUCCCUGGGCAGCCUGUGCCAGUGUCUCACCACUCUUUCUGAGAAGAAAUUUUUCCUAAUAUCCAACCUGAACCUUCCUUGGUGCAACUUAAGGCCAUCACCCCUCGACAAGUUGGCAUCAACGUUCUUGCACCCCUUCCUACAGCAACACACAAACACAUCCUGUACUGACCGAGGGAAGCAGCCUUCACACACAUUAACUUCACAUUUUGGAGUGGAUUGUAACUUACUUCUGGGCUUAACAACUGCCUGCAAAACAUUAACAAUUCCCCAACCAAAAUCCAUUGCUUUCUUCUAGUUCAUAUUAAUCUCUGUUUUUAUUAAGUCUAUCACAUCUCAAUUACUCCUGCCCAGUGACCUUGCUAGCUCCAAUGAAGGACAAAAUGAUAAAGCUUUGUGACGAAGCCCACGAACACAGAAAUAUUUCACCCAAACCUAUAGUGCUAUUAUUGCUCUUAACCAGAACAGGCUAUUUAAAAAAAUAAAAAAUAAGUGCAUACAUGGUGACCUUGCUGGGUUUGAGUGCUUCCUGAGAGUCAGGAGAAGCAUAUGAAUCCAUAGCAUCAUCCAUUACAGAAAUCAAAUCAUCUUUCACCUGCUUCCUUAACAAAAUCCAUGCUGAUAAUGGUGCUGCUACACCAGGUAUUGCCUCAGUGUGGGAAGACGUUGUGCUUCAGUGAUGCAGGGAAGCUCCUUCGUCCCUGUGGGACUCCAAGAGAUGGCCACAGUGAGCAGAAGGAUGGCAUGAUUCUAUGAUCCAGCACUAUACAGGUGCUCAUGCCAGGAACACCUGGGCUUGGUCUCCAGUGUCUGCAUGGCCAGCACAGGUAACACUGUGGUAUGUCAUGGGAGGGUUCCUCUUGCUUCAGCCUAUGCAAAACAGCCAGGCAGAACGAUGCAUAGCCAGUUACAAAGAGAGAUGGAAAGACCACACUGCAGCCCCUCAAACAUAACGCAGAAGGAUAAGCCCUUUGUUCUUUGGAAUCAUAGAACCAUAGAAUCGUGACAGUUGGAAAAGACCUCUAAGAUCAUCUAGUCCAACUGUCACACCCCUACCAUCUAUAUUUCAGCAGGACACACAGAACAUCACCCAACUCCACUGGCUGGGGCCCCUCCUGCCCUGGAGCUGUGGCUGUUUGCAAGCCCUGGAGCUGUUUGCAAGCAGCUGAGUUGGGUGCAGAGACGUGGGUGAGGUCUUCUGGAAGCAGAGAAGAUUUUGACUAGGUUUAGACCGGACCAGAAGAGAACAUAUGCAGCUUUGAUUAAGUUAAGAACUGCAGAAUCAAACUCAUUAUUAAUCUAGCUUGACGCCACUGCAUGUUGUAAGGUCCUUUCUAAACCUGUCACUGCAAUUUAUCAUGCCAGCAAUGUAAUAAAAUACAGCUAUAAAAUUUUGGAUUAAAUGUUCAAGGUCAGCGGUUGACUUUCAGCUUCCCAAUCUCUUGCUUGCUGCUGUAGCUGAUGCUCUAUUAAGCAGUUACAAGCUCUGGGAGAAAGUUUCUUUGGAGAAAAGACUCGGUUGUGGGGCAUCUCCAGAAUUAAAUCUUCAGACAUUUCAUCCAAUUUCAAAACAAUAAAUAAUAAAUAACAAGAGUAAUGAAUACUGCCUGGCUUUGGGAUGAGGUUUUAUCUUCAGAAACACUCUGGUUUUUGUUGUGUUUUCAAGAAGCGGCUCUCUGUGCCUGUCUUUGUAAAACAGGCAGAAGGUGAUUCCUUAAUUUUUGUUGACAUUUGGAGAUGUAAGAACAGCACCCUGGGGAUGUGGGGAGCACCACAGUACCUACAGCAAGAUGAAGAUCAAGACUCCACUGCACUACACAAGCUCUAACAGCUGGUUGUAAUAUAAGGCCUUACUUCUGCCCAGUCCUCAAUGCCUUUAAGCCUUAGAGAAGCCCAGUGCUGCUACAAGGACAGUGCUGCUAUCAGUAGAGUUGCAAUUUCACUCGUAGGUUGCUCUGAAAGUAGUGCCUCCUACUUAUUCCUAUGGUAACUACGACAGACACAAAGAGCACAAUAACACUGUUUGAUAGAGAAGAGCACCGGGCUCCCUGCUUUGCUGCACACUGAUCCAAUUUUACUGACUGUUUGUGAGCAACGGGAUUGUUUUCUGCAGCCUUGCUCAGAUUACGAAAUGCAAACACAUGCUUUGUUUACAGCAAGGAGUGCCCCCUAAAAACAAGUCCCUGCAUCAAAGAGCAUGCCAAGGAAUUGAGGGACUGCUUCCUGAGGGUGUUUGCAAAGAACAGCUGCUAUCUGCGGGGCAUUGGGCGCUCCUCAGGUGUGCUGCCAUAGGCUGGUAGCACAGCAGAGAGGGCGAAGCAAGUUGCUCUCUUUGCUACAUUUCAAGCAGAGCAGUGGCACCAAGACUUAGCUCUGCAUUGUAACAUGAAGGAUCACAAUAGGUUCUGAACCAAGCAUUGCUUCCAUUUCACUAUAAAGCAUCAUUACUUUCAUUAUCAGCUACACCACAGUGUGAAGAAAAAUACACCCUUUUUGGUAACAAAGAAUAUUUCCAGAAUUGAUUUAAUAGCAAAGAUAAAUUCUGAUGAUGUUUCCUGCAAUCACUGAGCCUAUUUUCUGUCUAUCUCCAAUUGUAGACUUUAUCAAUGGCUGACCAAGACUCUCACUGAGUCAGGAAAGUGCUAUCACAAUUUUUUAUUUUAUUUUUUUUUAAAAAGAGAAAAAGCAAACUCAUGUACUGCUUUGCGACUGAUAAGAAUGAUUGACCCUAGUGAUUUAAUUGCUGUGAUUAUAACCUGCCACAAGAAACAAGCAGCUGCUCUCCUCCGUGCUCGCCCCUGGCUGAGUCCCUGUUAUUUCACACUGCCAUUAAGUUAUCUGACUUCUGGACGGCAAAGCACCGCUGCCACCUCCAGCCAUGUGCCCUGUCCUGGCCAUGCUUUGUUUGCAUAUCAGGGGCGAGAGAAGAACCCCACUCCAAAGAAACACCCCUUC